This 473-nucleotide ribosomal RNA is filed under the name uncultured bacterium. RNAcentral describes it as "partial 16S ribosomal RNA". It matches the Rfam family "Bacterial small subunit ribosomal RNA", at positions 28 to 507 of the family's 1533-position model. The record is from RNAcentral.
GAUGAACGCUAGCGGCAGGCCUAAUACAUGCAAGUCGAACGGGUGGUCGCAAGACCACUAGUGGCGCACGGGUGCGUAACGCGUAACCAACCUGCCCCGAUCUGGGGGAUAGCCCGCCGAAAGGCGGUUUAAUACCGCAUAUACCCGCAGCCUGGCAUCAGGCAACGGGGAAAGAUUUAUUGGAUCGGGAUGGGGUUGCGUGACAUUAGCUAGUUGGCGGGGUAAGGGCCCACCAAGGCGACGAUGUCUAGGGGACCUGAGAGGGUGAUCCCCCACACUGGCACUGAGAUACGGGCCAGACUCCUACGGGAGGCAGCAGUAGGGAAUAUUGGGCAAUGGGCGAGAGCCUGACCCAGCCAUGCCGCGUGCCGGAUGAAGGCCUUCUGGGUUGUAAACGGCUUUUCUCAGGGAAGAAAAAGACCUUGCGAGGUACACUGACGGUACCUGAGGAAUAAGCACCGGUUAACUCCGUG